RNAcentral lists this ribosomal RNA (253 nucleotides) under uncultured bacterium. RNAcentral describes it as "partial 16S ribosomal RNA". It matches the Rfam family "Bacterial small subunit ribosomal RNA", at positions 524 to 776 of the family's 1533-position model. The record is from RNAcentral.
UACAGAGGUCCCGAGCGUUGUUCGGAUUCAUUGGGCGUAAAGGGUGCGUAGGUGGCGCUGUAAGUGGGGUGUGAAAUCCCGGGGCUUAACUCCGGAACUGCAUUCCAUACUGCGGUGCUUGAGGACUGGAGAGGAGACUGGAAUUUACGGUGUAGCAGUGAAAUGCGUAGAUAUCUGGAGGAACACCGGUGGCGAAGGCGGCGUUCUGGACUGUUACUGACACUGAGGAACGAAAGCCAGGGGAGCAAACGGG